CUAAAAGUUAAAUUCAUAUCCUAAACCUUCAAUUCAUAUUCACAAAAGUUCAAGUCAUAUCCUAAAGGUUCAACUCAUAUCGUAAAAAGUUCAAGUCAUAUCGUACAAUUUCAAUUUAUAUCGUACAAGUUCAAUUCACAAGAACAAAACCUAAAAACUAAAAGUUCAUCAAUUCUUAUCCUACGAGUUUAAGCAUAAACUAAAAGUUCAAUUUAUAUCCUAAAGGGUCAAUUCAUAUCCACAAAAAUUCAAGUCAUAUCCUAAAAAUUCAACUCAUAUCCUAAAAGUUUCAAUUUAUAUCCUACAAGUUCAAUUCACAAGAACAAAACCUAAAAACUAAAAGUUAUAUUCAUAUCCUACAAGUUUAAACAUAAACUAAAAGUUCAAGUCAUAUCCUAAAGGUUCAAUACAUAUGCUAAAGGUUCAAUUUAUUUCCUAAAAGUUCAACACAUAUUAUAAAGGUUCAACUCAUAUCGUAAAAAGUUCAAGUCAUAUCGUAAAAUUUCAAUUUAUAUCGUACAAGUUCAAUUCACAAGAACAAAACCUAAAAACUAAAAGUUCAUCAAUUCUUAUCCUACGAGUUUAAACAUAAACAAAAAGUUCAAUUUAUAUCCUAAAGGUUCAAUUCAUAUCCACAAAAGUUCAAGUCAUAUCCUAAAAUUUCUAUUUAUAUCCU
RNAcentral lists this long non-coding RNA (676 nucleotides) under Nicotiana tabacum (common tobacco). RNAcentral describes it as "long non-coding RNA (NTAB_LNC016804)". Lineage: Eukaryota; Viridiplantae; Streptophyta; Magnoliopsida; Solanales; Solanaceae. The record is from RNAcentral.